GAGUAAUUCUUGCCACCGGAUUUAUUCAUAUCCUUCCGGAAUCUUUCGAAAGAUUGGGUUCUGAAUGUUUGCCUGAUGAUCCGUGGCACAAGUUUCCGUUCGCUGGGUUUGUAGCCAUGUUGGCUGCAAUUGGAACCUUGUUCAUCGAUUGCUUCGCAACUGGCUACUUCAUUAGAUUCCACCUGCAUCAUGAUCAAAAUAAUGGACCAGACACUGAACAACAAGGUUUAGAUCAAACAAGUGGUUUUGAUCUUCUCAUAAUCAGACAUCGCGUGGUUUCACAGGUUUAUAUAAUCGAUUGAUUUGAUCUUAUAUUGACGUGAUUUUAAUUAUUCGAUCGAAUAUUAAUUUAGACUGAUGAAACUGAACAAGAUCAAUGGGUCAUUGUCGCUAGGUUUUGGAAUUGGGAAUUGUGGUCCACUCCGUGAUCAUCGGAAUCUCUUUAGGAACAUUUAACACUCCAUCCACUAUUCAACCACUUCUUAUUGUUCUGUGUUUCCAUCAAUUCUUCGAAGGAAUGGGGAUGGGAGGAUGCAUAGUUAUGGUAAUUAAAUAAACCUUUUUUUUACAAGGUAAUGAUACAUAAGCAAAUAAAAAUUAAUUGAUGUAUAUACACUGAGAUUUAAACCCUGAAUCUUUAUCAGUCCAAUCAUUUUAUAUACUAUCUAUAAUUACCUUGAUCUUAGAUUAUACAACUGGAUUAACUGAUAAGUUGGUCGCAAUCACUCUUAAGGUGGCUGAAUGUUUAUGAUUCGAAUUUUAAUAUAUGUACUUUAAUCUUGUGGUAAUUUAAAAUGAAAUCCAGAUUUGAUUAUAAUCUUGAAGUAUUAGAUUUGAAUAAAAUAACUUGUCAAAUAAAUUUUGAAUUUAUUUACUAUUGUAAUUACCAUAAAUCAACGAUUAUUAAUUCAUCAAGUGUCACAAAAAAGUACUUAUAGUAUACACACGUACUUUAAUUUAUAUAGAACAAUAUUCAGAUGAGUCUCUCUUAGGUAAGUUCAAAAACGUUUAUAAAAUCUUGAUUGUUCAUCUAUUUCAUCUGAAUUUUUUUCUUCUAUCCACCUUACACUAAUCCCGAGGUAAGGUCAAGAUUUCACAAGCGUUUUUGGGUUUAUUGGAGAUGAACUUCAAAUCGCAUAUAAUUUAUUGACUUUUUUUUAUCAUAAUAUUCUAAUACAACUUAUGUCGACAUUAUUGAUCAAGAUUUAAUAAAUCAAUAAAUGUGGCAUAUAAAUCCAACGAGUGUACCUAAAUAAAUAGUCUUCAAACUUAGUUCAAUUAUUGUACCAACGAAAAUAAAAAUGAAGAGCUUCAGAGUUGCGUUUUUUGUUCUUCUACUUUCAUUUCAAUUACAACUUUUCUCAACAUUUGGAAAAUCCGACGACGACUGUGCCAGUGAUGACUUUGUGGAAGAUAGCUCGACUGCUCGGAAACUGAAGAUCGUGGCGAUCUUCACCAUCUUCUUUUCAGGCUCUAUAGGAAUCCUUGCACCCAUAAUUGGGAACACCUUGGCAUUUCUAAAGCCAGAGUCAAACUUUUUCUUCUUGGUCAAAGCGUUUGCGGCCGGAGUAAUUCUUGCCACCGGAUUCAUCCAUAUCCUUCCGGAAUCUUUCGAAAGAUUGGGUUCUGAAUGUUUGCCUGAUGAUCCGUGGCACAAGUUUCCGUUCGCUGGGUUUGUAGCCAUGUUGGCUGCAAUUGGAACCUUGUUCAUCGAUUGCUUCGCAACUGGCUACUUCAAUAGAUUCCAUCAGAAGAAUGGACCAGACACUGAACAACAAGGUUUAGAUCAAACAAGUGGUUUUGAUCCUCUCAUAAUCAGACACCGCGUGGUUUCACAGGUUUAUAUAAUCGAUUGAUUUGAUCUUAUAUUGACGUGAUUUUAAUUAUUCGAUCGAAUAUUAAUUUAGACUGAUGAAACUGAACAAGAUCAAUGGGUCAUUGUCGCUAG
RNAcentral lists this long non-coding RNA (1948 nucleotides) under Zostera marina. RNAcentral describes it as "long non-coding RNA (ZMAR_LNC002616)". Lineage: Eukaryota; Viridiplantae; Streptophyta; Magnoliopsida; Alismatales; Zosteraceae. The record is from RNAcentral.